This 100-nucleotide ribosomal RNA is filed under the name Aeromonas salmonicida. RNAcentral's name for it is "partial 16S ribosomal RNA". It matches the Rfam family "Bacterial small subunit ribosomal RNA", at positions 1 to 95 of the family's 1533-position model. The record is from RNAcentral. RNAcentral also lists the same sequence under 1 other name. Lineage: Bacteria; Pseudomonadati; Pseudomonadota; Gammaproteobacteria; Aeromonadales; Aeromonadaceae.
AAAUUGAAGAGUUUGAUCAUGGCUCAGAUUGAACGCUGGCGGCAGGCCUAACACAUGCAAGUCGAGCGGCAGCGGGAAAGUAGCUUGCUACUUUUGCCGG